UUAAGUGAUGAUAAUGAGCCCCAGAGGCUCUAUAUAUUUAUAUAAACCCAGCUCUUCGAUAUUUAUGUUUCAUGAGAAGAAAGUCCUAGAUAUCUGAUU
This 99-nucleotide small nucleolar RNA is filed under the name Babjeviella inositovora NRRL Y-12698. Lineage: Eukaryota; Fungi; Ascomycota; Pichiomycetes; Serinales. The record is from RNAcentral.